This 253-nucleotide ribosomal RNA is filed under the name uncultured bacterium. RNAcentral describes it as "partial 16S ribosomal RNA". It matches the Rfam family "Bacterial small subunit ribosomal RNA", at positions 524 to 776 of the family's 1533-position model. The record is from RNAcentral.
UACGGGGGGUGCGAGCGUUGUCCGGAAUCACUGGGCGUAAAGGGCGCGUAGGCGGCUUGGCAAGUGGAAGGUGAAAUCCCUCGGCUCAACUGAGGAACUGCCUUCCAGACUGCUUUGCUUGAGUCCGGGAGAGGUGAGUGGAAUUCCAGGUGUAGCGGUGAAAUGCGUAGAUAUCUGGAGGAACACCGGUGGCGAAGGCGGCAUCCUGGACCAACACUGACGCUGAGGAGCGAAAGCCAGGGGAGCAAACGGG